This 484-nucleotide ribosomal RNA is filed under the name uncultured bacterium. Its description in RNAcentral is "partial 16S ribosomal RNA". It matches the Rfam family "Bacterial small subunit ribosomal RNA", at positions 30 to 507 of the family's 1533-position model. The record is from RNAcentral.
AUUGAACGCUGGCGGCAGGCCUAACACAUGCAAGUCGAGCGGAUGAAGGGAGCUUGCUCCUGGAUUCAGCGGCGGACGGGUGAGUAAUGCCUAGGAAUCUGCCUGGUAGUGGGGGAUAACGUCCGGAAACGGGCGCUAAUACCGCAUACGUCCUGAGGGAGAAAGUGGGGGAUCUUCGGACCUCACGCUAUCAGAUGAGCCUAGGUCGGAUUAGCUAGUUGGUGGGGUAAAGGCCUACCAAGGCGACGAUCCGUAACUGGUCUGAGAGGAUGAUCAGUCACACUGGAAGUGAGACACGGUCCAGACUCCUACGGGAGGCAGCAGUGGGGAAUAUUGGACAAUGGGCGAAAGCCUGAUACAGCCAUGCCGCGUGUGUGAAGAAGGUCUUCGGAUUGUAAAGCACUUUAAGUUGGGGGGAAGGGCAGUAAGUUAAUACCUUGCUGUUUUGACGGUACCAACAGAAUAAGCACCGGCUAACUUCGUG